GAUGAACGCUAGCGGCAGGCCUAACACAUGCAAGUCGAGGGGUAACAGAGUUUGCUUGCAAACUGCUGACGACCGGCGCACGGGUGCGGAACGCGUAUGGAACCUGCCCCUGUCAGGGGAAUAGCCCAGAGAAAUUUGGAUUAAUGCCCCAUGGUAUCCCGAUACUGCCUGGUAUUGGGAUUAAAGAUUUAUCGGACAGGGAUGGCCAUGCGUACCAUUAGCUAGUUGGUGGGGCAACGGCCCACCAAGGCAACGAUGGUUAGGGGCCCUGAGAGGGGGAUCCCCCACACUGGUACUGAGACACGGACCAGACUCCUACGGGAGGCAGCAGUGAGGAAUAUUGGACAAUGGUCGGGAGACUGAUCCAGCCAUGCCGCGUGCAGGAUGACGGCCCUAUGGGUUGUAAACUGCUUUUGUACGGGAAGAAACCCAUCUACGUGUAGAUGGCUGACGGUACCGUAAGAAUAAGGACCGGCUAACUCCGUG
RNAcentral lists this ribosomal RNA (486 nucleotides) under uncultured organism. RNAcentral describes it as "bacterial SSU rRNA". It matches the Rfam family "Bacterial small subunit ribosomal RNA", at positions 28 to 507 of the family's 1533-position model. The record is from RNAcentral.